CAAGACAAUCUAAUCAAUUACACCCGUUUGAGCGACUCGGAACUCAUUGUAACAUUUAAAACAAGUAAAUCAGCAGGUCACAUUUAGCAAAUGACAUCUUCUAUUCUCUUUCACCAAAAUGUAUUGACAGUGUACUACACAUCCCGCUCUUGGCGUCCUACUUAACCGAUAUCCAAAACGCAUCUUUGCAAUACAAAAAGCCCAAACAAUGCACUUACUGGAAACGGCAAGAUUGGUUAAUUUAUAAUUUGACAACUUGAAAAGGAAAACGUCAUGGUCAAAGUAAGUGGUAUGGCUUUCCACUAGUGUGCACGACUGGAUUUAAGCUUAGUCUUGAAACCCCAUAGAGCAGAAUGUCGGUCACUCUGGCCAGAGACACUAAUCCCUGCCCUGCCAGUGAAAAAUACUAGUUUUUUUUUUUUUUUUUCGUUUGGGGUUUGGAUUUACAAAGAAAAUAUCUCAUUACAAAGAGACGAAGGGGAAGCCCAAGUCUCCAGCUGCUCCUGUGUCCACCGCUAGAGGGAGAUUACUUGCUGCUCUCAUCUCCACUGCUAUAGGAUGAGUACCUACUGCUUUGCCACCACCACCAGAGGAGCUGGAGCUACCUCACGAGGGUCCGCUGUUGCCGUCGCCUCCCCAGGGUCCCCUGCUGCCGUCGCCUCCCGAGGGUCCGCUGCUGUCGCCGCCAGUUUGCAGAAUGCAUUUUGAAUGGGGAGACAAUCUGUUUCCAAGAGAGCACAGCUGACAACUGGAUUGCAAAGGGAUUGCGCUUACUUUAAUAAAUUCAUCUGGUGCCUUAAUAACCUACAGGAAAAGUAGUGGAAACACAUGCUUGUAUUUUUAUUAUUUAAUUCAAAUGCUUUAAUCUGCUUUUUUACAUCCCAUUCUUGCAAAAUGGACUCAUUUGUUUGAAACAAAUGAUAAGACAAUUGGAUUGUACAAACAAUUGUUCUGUAGAGCUGAAUUCAUCAACAAUUGUCAUGAAAUGCUAUAUUGGUUGAAUACAAACAUGUAUUUUCACCACAAUUCAAGUUCCAUUGUUCCAACUGUAUGGUUUAGUUCAUUGUUCAAAGUGUGUUCCAUAUUCUGUAUUCAUCCCCACCCAUCUACUUGUCCUAUAUUACCUUCAAGAGCCACUGGACACCCUGCUUUAUCAGACUGCUUGUUAAUGAUUGCUAUCGUUUAUAAUGCACACAUUUCACAUUUUGGGUUUUAUUUUGUUUAACCUGAAAUUUGGAACAAAAGCUAAUUGAGAGUGAGCCCCUACCAGUACACUGACAUUUAAGGACUAUGUAUAGAUUUAUUUCAAUCCUUCAUUGCUCAUUUGUGUACAUGGCUUCUUUUAUAAGUCAUUUAUAAUUCCUAUAAAUAUAGCCUUUUUAUAAUUCAAAAGAACAUAAUGUGAGGUUUCAAAUGCCUAGCUAUCAGUUGCCAAAGUAUAUUGCGGUUCUAAUAUUACUAUUUCACAGAUUGCUUGUGAUGAGUGCAACUUGUGGUUUCACUGGACAUGCACUGACCCAAAUAACCAGCCAACACAUGUGGAGAACGUUAUUUUUUUUAAUUUAAUAAAAUUUUUGCUACAAGUGCCUCAGAAAGCAUUCGAAGACAAAUGAGGCGUCCAUUACAACCACUUUUCUCAUUGGAUUAAUUACUCAAGUUCACUGCUAGAUGUUUGUAAUGUAUAUUCUUUCUAACUGCAUGUAGUACUUUGCACUUAUCUAUAUUAAACUUAAUCUGCCAAAUGUCUGGCCAGUUCUGAAGGGUGCCUAGAUACUUUAUUUCCUGUGCUGCUGUAACAGUACACCCCAGCUGUUUUGGUUUCUGCAGAUUUAAAUAUCUCGAUCAUUGACGUAAAUUAUGAAGAGCAGCAGGUUUAAUGCAGAUCCUUGUGGUAUGUCAAUAUUUUAUUCGCCGCAAUUUGAGGUUUUGCCUCUGACCAGUACUCU
This is a long non-coding RNA of Polyodon spathula (Mississippi paddlefish), 1946 nucleotides long. RefSeq lists it as uncharacterized. The record is from RefSeq and is a predicted model, not a curated record. The transcript has 3 exons. Lineage: Eukaryota; Metazoa; Chordata; Actinopteri; Acipenseriformes; Polyodontidae.